Molecule: ribosomal RNA, 478 nt
Filed under: uncultured bacterium
Lineage: Bacteria
Description: partial 16S ribosomal RNA
Rfam family: Bacterial small subunit ribosomal RNA
Source: RNAcentral
GACGAACGCUGGCGGCGUGCUUAACACAUGCAAGUCGAACGGUAAGGCCCUUCGGGGUACACGAGUGGCGAACGGGUGAGUAACACGUGGGUGAUCUGCCCUGCACUUCGGGAUAAGCCUGGGAAACUGGGUCUAAUACCGGAUAGGACUCCUGGCUUCAUGGUUGGGGGUGGAAAGCUUUUGCGGUGUGGGAUGGGCCCGCGGCCUAUCAGCUUGUUGGUGGGGUAAUGGCCUACCAAGGCGACGACGGGUAGCUGGCCUGAGAGGGUGACCGGUCGCACUGGGCCUGGGAUACGGCCCAGACUCAUACGGGAGGCAGCAGUGGGGGAUAUUGCACAAUGGGCGCAAGCCUGAUGCAGCGACGCCGCGUGAGGGAUGACGGCCUUCGGGUUGUAAACCUCUUUCAGCUAUGACGAAGCGCAAGUGACGGUAGUAGCAGAAGAAGGACCGGCCAACUACGUGCCAGCCGCCGCCGUAA